UGCUAUUCAUAUAAGGUAGUGUACCCGAUCUGUUUAAGGGUUUAAUAAGAGUUUAAUAAACAAGAGGGAGACGGGUCUUUGGGGAGUAGGACGGAUUCAGCUUAAAACAAAGCUGAAAUCAAGUGUUUUCUUUACCAAGGCACCGUGUGGGAUUUUUGAUGAAGGACUAUUCGCACAUGAGGAUAAUUAUGCUUUGCUGUUCGACUGCCAGAACUUUACAAGCUUUAUUUGAAUUUUUGUAUAAAUUUAUACAUAUUUAGUUAUUUUAUUGACGCAACCUGAUCCGCGAAAACUCAACCCAGUGAUUGUGCCAAAAAGUCAAAUUCAAUGGCUUAAAAUAUUGACUACGAACGAUUAGCUCAAGAAAUUUCAAGAAUACAAAGAACAACACCAGAAAAUGUAACUGAUCUAUCCAACAACAGUAAAGUGAAACUUCAAUAUUCUUCGAGAAACUUUCAGGAUGCGAAAUCUGCCUCUUCUAUGAGAAAUGAUGCAACGCAGGAGAAUCCAAUGGUCUAUAAUGAGUACACAACUUUUAGAGAAUACUGCAAGUGUUCCAAAACUUGAACAAAGACAGUUGAUGAGCACCAUGCUUUAAAAAAGAGGAUUUUUUUAAACAAAUGUGGGCAGGUCAAGUUCCAUAUCUUGACAGCACAAUCGGAGACAUCUGACAUCCUGCUAAAAUAUAUAAAAGAGGAAGUAAUGUAUGAAUUAAGUUAAGUGAUUAUCAUUUGCCCAUGUAAAUAAAUUGAAGUGUCAACAUAAUUUGCUAAAGGAAAUUUAUAAGUUUACAGAGUAUACGAUCAGGCAUGGUAGUGUAUUUGUGUUAAAAGACAUGUUCUAUUUAAGUGUUGAGUCAUUGCAAUGUGCUUUUAGCUGUUAAACACCAAGGACACAUGUAAACGGAUAAAAGAUGUUUUUAUACAUGUACCAUGUCCUCUCACAUUAGCCACACAGUUAUAACGGGCCGACAGAAGGCGGUCUGUUAUUCGACAUACCUUUUAAUUCUGAAACUGCAUUUCUGCGGGAUAGUUUUUUUUG
This is a long non-coding RNA of Magallana angulata, 1041 nucleotides long. RefSeq lists it as uncharacterized. The record is from RefSeq and is a predicted model, not a curated record. The transcript has 4 exons. Lineage: Eukaryota; Metazoa; Mollusca; Bivalvia; Ostreida; Ostreidae.